This is a long non-coding RNA of Monomorium pharaonis (pharaoh ant), 1375 nucleotides long. RefSeq lists it as uncharacterized. NCBI's taxonomy places the organism in Eukaryota, Metazoa, Arthropoda, Insecta, Hymenoptera, Formicidae. The transcript is spliced from 2 exons. The record is from RefSeq and is a predicted model, not a curated record.
ACGCGCGGAUGCGCCUUGCUGGAUUAAUCUUUCCUCUCGUCACCGAACCGUUAAUAAUCAAAAACACUUUGAGAACAUUCAAACAGACGAAGGACAUGCAAUCGCUCGUACCUUCACUCCAAUUUCACAAAUGCUACGGAAGGGAAAGAAAGGAGAAGAGGAAUGCAGGGUGCAGGCUCUUCGAACGAAGUAUCAGUUUUGGUGAACCAGAUAUUCUUUCUUUGCAGGUAUGUAAAAGAUAAAGGGAAACGAAUGAACUUCUUUAUUUGUUCAUAUCUUCAAAGUACCGAGAUAUUGAAAACUCAUUUCCGGUCUCGGUCGCGCGUUUUGUCUGUAGUGAAUUUCCACAUAUUCCACAUAUAAAAGAAAAACAUUCUUGAUUUGAGAAUAUCCUGUAUUUGCGAAAUGUUAAAUAUUGAAACAAGAUAGCGCGUUACACAACAAAUAACUUGCUUACAUAAAAAUGUUUUGUAUACUUUUAUGAAAUAUGAUAAUUUUCAUGGAUAUUGAGAGGAAAAAAUAUUAGAUUUGAAGUGAUAAAUAACUUGAAAUAAAAAAUUAUAAUAUUUUAAUACUAUUAUUAAAACGAUCAUGUAUUGUGCUCUAUAUAUGAUCUCUCCCUACAUAUAAUUAUGAAAUUGAAAUAAAACUACAUUUUACUGAAAUUUAAGAUUAAAAAAAUUAAAUUAUAUAUACCUUUAUAUGCAGAAUAAUUUAAGGGAUCAUAUUUUGUAAAAAAAAAUCGUGCAAUUUUAAUUGCAUCUUGUUUUCGAAAUAUUUACUCGAUAUUUUAUGCCCAUCCUAUAUAAAUGAGAAUAUAAUUGCUUGUAUAUAUAAAACGAUAAUUGUUAAGUAGAAUGCAUUAGUUUAUUUAAUUUGAUAUUGAUCUAAUAUUCUCCCUCUGUGGAUUCUUGGAAUUUUUGACCAGAAUUUUUAUUCUUUAACAAGAAGGAAAAGAAGAAAAAUAAAUAGUAGAAAAACGAGUCAAACAAAAGAAAAAAAAAUCAUCUUUUCAUUAAAAAAAUUCUGAAUGGGUCGUUUUGACAAAAGUUAAAUUUGUCACGUCUCUUUUGUUCUUUUGAAAACAGCUUCUGUUGCAAUUUUUCUUAGCCGAGUUUCCCUGCAUUCCAGGCUUAUAUUUUAUAUCCUUGGAUUUUUAACCACUUCCUCACCAAAUUGUGACAUUAUGUUAAAAAUUAAGAGAGCGUCGCAUAAAAGACAUUGUAAUUAGUAAUAAAUCAUUAGAUAUGUUUAGAAAAUGUACAAAACGUAUGAAUUAACACCUGAGACUUUUAUUAGCUUUGUUUUUAACAAAAACAAGUUAAAUUAACUACGAAUCUGAGAAAAUGGUUCUUGCAUUUCAAUAAAAAAAAAA